UUUUGGACAAUGGGCGAAAGCCUGAUCCAGCCAUUCCGCGUGAGUGAAGAAGGCCUUCGGGUUGUAAAGCUCUUUCGCAACCCCAGAAAACUUAGGCGCUAAUAUCGCUUGAGGUUGACGGUACCUUGAUAAGAAGCACCGGCUAACUACGUGCCAGCAGCCGCGGUAAUACGUAGGGUGCGAGCGUUAAUCGGAAUUACUGGGCGUAAAGCGUGCGCAGGCGGUUUUGUAAGUCAGAUGUGAAAUCCCCGAGCUCAACUUGGGAACUGCGUUUGAAACUAUAAGACUAGAAUAUGUCAGAGGGGGGUAGAAUUCCACGUGUAGCAGUGAAAUGCGUAGAGAUGGGAGGAAUACCAAUGGCGAAGGCAGCCCCCUGGGAUAAUAUUGACGCUCAUGCACGAAA
This 403-nucleotide ribosomal RNA is filed under the name uncultured bacterium. RNAcentral's name for it is "bacterial SSU rRNA". It matches the Rfam family "Bacterial small subunit ribosomal RNA", at positions 362 to 758 of the family's 1533-position model. The record is from RNAcentral.